GGGGAUUUAGCUCAGCGGUAGAGCGCUUGCCUAGCAGGCGCAAAGCCCUGGGUUCGAUCCCCAGCUCCG
Non-coding RNA from Rattus norvegicus (Norway rat), 69 nucleotides. The record is from Rfam. NCBI's taxonomy places the organism in Eukaryota, Metazoa, Chordata, Mammalia, Rodentia, Muridae.